This 253-nucleotide ribosomal RNA is filed under the name uncultured bacterium. RNAcentral's name for it is "partial 16S ribosomal RNA". It matches the Rfam family "Bacterial small subunit ribosomal RNA", at positions 524 to 776 of the family's 1533-position model. The record is from RNAcentral.
UACGAGAGGUGCAAGCGUUAUUCGGAAUCAUUGGGCGUAAAGGGUGCGUAGACGGUUUACUAAGUCUGUUGUUAAAUCUUUCGGCUUAACUGAAAAUCAGCAGUGGAUACUGGUAGACUAGAGUGUGAAAGAGAGAAGUGGAAUUCUUGGAGUAGCGGUAAAAUGCGUAGAUCUCAAGAGGAACACCAAUGGCGAAGGCAGCUUCUUGGUUCACUACUGACGUUGAGGCACGAAAGCGUGGGGAGCAAACAGG